ACGAUCCCGACAAUGCUUCACUGCAGCUCGACAGUGCUCCAUUGCAACCCCAGGACGCUGCAAUGAGUCCCGACGGCGCUUCAAUGCAAUCCCGAUGAAGCUUCAAUGACCUCCGGUGGCUUCAUUGCAGCUCCGGUGUGCUUCACUGCAGCUCCGAUGAUGCCGUUUCACAAGCGAACAUUGCGUUGAAGCAUGCUCCGCCUAUGAGAACUGUCGGCUGCAGCGUCGUUGAGGUUGUUGCGGUAGCAACAAGAUGAACGAGCACCGGCGUCGUUUGUCGGGGGCAUGCAGCACCGAGACUGCUGGAAAAUGGAGGCGUCUCCAUUGGCCGUGCUCGCUUCAUGGAGCAGCUCAUGCUGGCUGGCAGCAGCUGGCCAGCCGAGCCACUGCUUUGCAGGUCGUGCUGCCCGGAGCACGCAGCCAGCGCGGGCGAGCAGCAAAAGCACCUCCUACGACCGGGCGGCGGAGCUUGCCUUGGCUAGCUGGCUGCGUUGGCUGGUUUGCUGCCUAGGUGAGGUAAGCCAUCA
This 527-nucleotide long non-coding RNA is filed under the name Hordeum vulgare. RNAcentral's name for it is "long non-coding RNA (HVUL_LNC011522)". Lineage: Eukaryota; Viridiplantae; Streptophyta; Magnoliopsida; Poales; Poaceae. The record is from RNAcentral.